RNAcentral lists this unclassified non-coding RNA (292 nucleotides) under uncultured fungus. RNAcentral's name for it is "partial contains small subunit ribosomal RNA, internal transcribed spacer 1, and 5.8S ribosomal RNA". The stretch from base 1 to 73 matches the Rfam family "Eukaryotic small subunit ribosomal RNA", at positions 1759 to 1831 of the family's 1831-position model. Lineage: Eukaryota; Fungi. The record is from RNAcentral.
GCAAACUUGGUCAUUUAGAGGAAGUAAAAGUCGUAACAAGGUCUCCGUUGGUGAACCAGCGGAGGGAUCAUUACAGAGUUGAAAAACUCCCUAAACCACUGUGAAUCUUACCUUUUUGUUCGUUGCUUCGGCGGGCGGCUCCAGGGCGGAGCCACUGCUCGUUGGGUCGGGUGCCCGCCGGAGGACAGCUAAAAACUCGUUAAUACACCUGUAAUCUCAGAGUACACAAGAAAAAGCUAUCAAAACUUUCAGCAACGGAUCUCUUGGUUCUGGCAUCGAUGAAGAACGCAGC